Molecule: long non-coding RNA, 277 nt
Organism: Limulus polyphemus (Atlantic horseshoe crab)
Lineage: Eukaryota; Metazoa; Arthropoda; Merostomata; Xiphosura; Limulidae
Exons: 4
Source: RefSeq, a predicted model, not a curated record
ACUGUCACUUCCAUCAGGUGUUGCCGGGGGCAUUGGUUUGCCUCCAUGGUUAGCAACUUCAGGAUCAGUAGGAAGACUUGUGGCUAGAGCACUAUCAUGAGACCAGAAUAACUUCCAGUUAUUUUUAAUGUUAGUAUUUAUGUACUUUGGCAUACAAUGCCGAUAAAAUGUUUGUUGUAUUGUAACUGCUUCCUGUACACAUUAUUUCUAAACUAUUUAUACACCACAUUAUUGAGUUCAGAAUUUUGUGGUUACGGGAUCUGUAAACCCAUAAUUU